RNAcentral lists this ribosomal RNA (469 nucleotides) under uncultured Ascomycota. Its description in RNAcentral is "SSU rRNA". It matches the Rfam family "Eukaryotic small subunit ribosomal RNA", at positions 623 to 1098 of the family's 1831-position model. The record is from RNAcentral. Lineage: Eukaryota; Fungi; Ascomycota.
AAAGCUCGUAGUUGAACCUUGGGCCUGGCUGGCCGGUCCGCCUCACCGCGUGUACUGGUCCGGCCGGGCCUUUCCCUCUGUGGAACCCCAUGCCCUUCACUGGGUGUGGCGGGGAAACAGGACUUUUACUUUGAAAAAAUUAGAGUGCUCCAGGCAGGCCUAUGCUCGAAUACAUUAGCAUGGAAUAAUAGAAUAGGACGUGUGGUUCUAUUUUGUUGGUUUCUAGGACCGCCGUAAUGAUUAAUAGGGACAGUCGGGGGCAUCAGUAUUCAAUUGUCAGAGGUGAAAUUCUUGGAUUUAUUGAAGACUAACUACUGCGAAAGCAUUUGCCAAGGAUGUUUUCAUUAAUCAGGAACGAAAGUUAGGGGAUCGAAGACGAUCAGAUACCGUCGUAGUCUUAACCAUAAACUAUGCCGACUAGGGAUCGGACGAUGUUAUUUUUUGACUCGUUCGGCACCUUACGGGAAAC